GAAUAUUGGACAAUGGGGGGAACCCUGAUCCAGCCAUGCCGCGUGUGUGAAGAAGGCCUUUUGGUUGUAAAGCACUUUAAGCGAGGAGGAGGCUACCGGGAUUAAUACUUUAGGAUAGUGGACGUUCCUCGCAGAAUAAGAACAGGCUAACUCUGUGCCAGCAACCGAGGUAAUACAGAGGGUGCGAGCGUUAAUCGGAUUUACUGGGCGUAAAGCGUGCGUAGGCGGCCAAUUAAGUCAAAUGUUAAAUCCCCGAGCUUAACUUGGGAAUUGCAUUCGAUACUGGUUGGCUAGAGUAUGGGAGAGGAUGGUAGUAUUCCAGGUGUAGCGGUGAAAUGCGUAGAGAUCUGGAGGAAUACCGAUGGCGAAGGCAGCCAUCUGGCCUAAUACUGACGCUGAGGUACGAAAGCAUGGGGAGCAAACAG
Molecule: ribosomal RNA, 425 nt
Filed under: uncultured bacterium
Lineage: Bacteria
Description: partial 16S ribosomal RNA
Rfam family: Bacterial small subunit ribosomal RNA
Source: RNAcentral